This 67-nucleotide transfer RNA is filed under the name Marmota monax (woodchuck). Its description in RNAcentral is "tRNA.Ala". The record is from RNAcentral. Lineage: Eukaryota; Metazoa; Chordata; Mammalia; Rodentia; Sciuridae.
GGAUUGUGGCUCAGCGGUAGAGCACUCACCUAGCAUGAGCAGGACCCGUGUUCGAUUCUCAGCACCA